This 741-nucleotide ribosomal RNA is filed under the name uncultured bacterium. Its description in RNAcentral is "bacterial SSU rRNA". It matches the Rfam family "Bacterial small subunit ribosomal RNA", at positions 59 to 795 of the family's 1533-position model. The record is from RNAcentral.
AAGUCGAGCGGCAGCACGGGGGCAACCCUGGUGGCGAGCGGCGAACGGGUGAGUAAUGCAUCGGAACGUACCCUGUCGUGGGGGAUAACUAUCCGAAAGGAUGGCUAAUACCGCAUACGACCUGAGGGUGAAAGCGGGGGAUCGCAAGACCUCGCGCGAUAGGAGCGGCCGAUGCCGAAUUAGCUAGUUGGUGAGGUAAAGGCUCACCAAGGCGACGAUCCGUAGCUGGUCUGAGAGGACGACCAGCCACACUGGGACUGAGACACGGCCCAGACUCCUACGGGAGGCAGCAGUGGGGAAUUUUGGACAAUGGGGGCAACCCUGAUCCAGCCAUUCCGCGUGAGUGAAGAAGGCCUUCGGGUUGUAAAGCUCUUUCGGCAGGAACGAAACGGUGAGGGCUAAUACCCUUUACUAAUGACGGUACCUGAAGAAGAAGCACCGGCUAACUACGUGCCAGCAGCCGCGGUAAUACGUAGGGUGCGAGCGUUAAUCGGAAUUACUGGGCGUAAAGCGUGCGCAGGCGGUUUUGUAAGACAGAUGUGAAAUCCCCGGGCUUAACCUGGGAACUGCGUUUGUGACUGCAAGACUUGGGUGCGGCAGAGGGGGGUGGAAUUCCACGUGUAGCAGUGAAAUGCGUAGAGAUGUGGAGGAACACCGAUGGCGAAGGCAGCCCCCUGGGUCGACACUGACGCUCAUGCACGAAAGCGUGGGUAGCAAACAGGAUUAGAUACCCUGGUAGUC